GUCUUUUUGAAUUAAAUUUAAAGUCUAACCUGCCCACUGAAAAUUUUUAAAUGGCCGCAGUAUUUUAACUGUGCAAAGGUAGCAUAAUCAUUAGUCUUUUAAUUGAAGGCUGGAAUGAAUGGUUGGACGAAAUAUUAACUGUUUCAUUUAAAUUUUUUAUUGAAUUUUAUUUUUUAGUCAAAAAGCUAAAAUUAAUUUAAAAGACGAGAAGACCCUAUAAAUCUUUAUAUUUUAUUUAUUUUAAUUAUAAAGAUUAAUUUUAUUAUAAUAAAUAAAAAUAUUUUAUUGGGGUGAUAUUAAAAUUUAAAAAACUUUUAAUUUUAAAACCAUUAAUUUAUGAAUAAUUGAUCCAUUAAUAAUGAUUAAAAAUUUAAGUUACUUUAGGGAUAACAGCGUAAUUUUUUUGGAGAGUUCAUAUCGAUAAAAAAGAUUGCGACCUCGAUGUUGGAUUAAGAUAUAAUUUUGGGUGUAGCCGUUUCAAAUUUUUAAGUCUGUUCGACUUUUAAAUUUCUU
Molecule: ribosomal RNA, 513 nt
Filed under: Lordiphosa neokurokawai
Lineage: Eukaryota; Metazoa; Arthropoda; Insecta; Diptera; Drosophilidae
Description: partial 16S ribosomal RNA
Rfam family: Bacterial large subunit ribosomal RNA
Source: RNAcentral